This 447-nucleotide ribosomal RNA is filed under the name uncultured bacterium. RNAcentral describes it as "bacterial SSU rRNA". It matches the Rfam family "Bacterial small subunit ribosomal RNA", at positions 335 to 774 of the family's 1533-position model. The record is from RNAcentral.
ACUCCUACGGGAGGCAGCAGUGGGGAAUAUUGCACAAUGGGGGAAACCCUGAUGCAGCCAUGCCGCGUGUGUGAAGAAGGCCUUCGGGUUGUAAGUACUUUCAGCAGUGAGGAAGGCGGAGGUCGUUAAUAGCGGCCUCGUUUGACGUUAGCUGCAGAAGAAGCACCGGCUAACUCCGUGCCAGCAGCCGCGGUAAUACGGAGGGUGCGAGCGUUAAUCGGAAUUACUGGGCGUAAAGCGCAUGCAGGUGGUUUGUUAAGUCAGAUGUGAAAGCCCGGGGCUCAACCUCGGAAUUGCAUUUGAAACUGGCAGACUAGAGUACUGUAGAGGGGGGUAGAAUUUCAGGUGUAGCGGUGAAAUGCGUAGAGAUCUGAAGGAAUACCGGUGGCGAAGGCGGCCCCCUGGACAGAUACUGACACUCAGAUGCGAAAGCGUGGGGAGCAAACA